UCCUGAUGUUCUUCAAUUUCUAGUUCAC
RNAcentral lists this non-coding RNA (28 nucleotides) under Mus musculus (house mouse). Lineage: Eukaryota; Metazoa; Chordata; Mammalia; Rodentia; Muridae. The record is from RNAcentral.